UGGGGAAUAUUGCACAAUGGGCGCAAGCCUGAUGCAGCCAUGCCGCGUGUGUGAAGAAGGCCUUCGGGUUGUAAAGCACUUUCAGCGGGGAGGAAGGCGUUAAGGUUAAUAACCUUGGCGAUUGACGUUACCCGCAGAAGAAGCACCGGCUAACUCCGUGCCAGCAGCCGCGGUAAUACGGAGGGUGCAAGCGUUAAUCGGAAUUACUGGGCGUAAAGCGCACGCAGGCGGUCUGUCAAGUCGGAUGUGAAAUCCCCGGGCUCAACCUGGGAACUGCAUUCGAAACUGGCAGGCUAGAGUCUUGUAGAGGGGGGUAGAAUUCCAGGUGUAGCGGUGAAAUGCGUAGAGAUCUGGAGGAAUACCGGUGGCGAAGGCGGCCCCCUGGACAAAGAAUGACGCUCAGGUGCGAAAGCGUGGGGAGCAAACAGG
This 429-nucleotide ribosomal RNA is filed under the name Chloroflexota bacterium. RNAcentral's name for it is "Chloroflexi bacterium partial 16S ribosomal RNA". It matches the Rfam family "Bacterial small subunit ribosomal RNA", at positions 355 to 776 of the family's 1533-position model. The record is from RNAcentral. Lineage: Bacteria; Bacillati; Chloroflexota.